Pangasius djambal is the source of this 72-nucleotide non-coding RNA. The record is from the annotation of a GenBank genome assembly. Lineage: Eukaryota; Metazoa; Chordata; Actinopteri; Siluriformes; Pangasiidae.
UCUCUGGAGGACUAGUGGUUAAGCCAUGGCACUCUCAGUGCUGCUUCCCGGGUUCGAUUCCUGGCCAGGAAC